Molecule: ribosomal RNA, 781 nt
Filed under: uncultured bacterium
Lineage: Bacteria
Description: bacterial SSU rRNA
Rfam family: Bacterial small subunit ribosomal RNA
Source: RNAcentral
CUAGCGACAGGCUUAACACAUGCAAGUCGAGGGGCAGCGGGGUAGUGCUUGCACUACUGCCGGCGACCGGCGCACGGGUGAGUAACACGUAUGGAACCUGCCCGCAGCAGGGGGAUAAGCGGAAGAAAUUCCGUCUAAUACCGCGUAACAACGUUGGGAGGCAUCUCCCGAUGUUUAAAGAUUUAUCGGCUGCGGAUGGCCAUGCGGCGCAUUAGCUAGUCGGCGGGGUAACGGCCCACCGAGGCGACGAUGCGUAGGGGUUCUGAGAGGAAGGUCCCCCACACUGGUACUGAGACACGGACCAGACUCCUACGGGAGGCAGCAGUGAGGAAUAUUGGUCAAUGGCCGAGAGGCUGAACCAGCCAAGUCGCGUGAGGGAAGACGGCCCUACGGGUUGUAAACCUCUUUUGUCGGGGAGCAAAGCGAACCACGUGUGGUUCAUUGAGAGUACCCGAAGAAAAAGCAUCGGCUAACUCCGUGCCAGCAGCCGCGGUAAUACGGAGGAUGCGAGCGUUAUCCGGAUUUAUUGGGUUUAAAGGGUGCGCAGGCGGAGGUGCAAGUCAGCGGUCAAAUUGCGGGGCUCAACCCCGUACUGCCGUUGAAACUGCAUCCCUUGAGUGCGCGAGAAGUAUGCGGAAUGCGUGGUGUAGCGGUGAAAUGCAUAGAUAUCACGCAGAACUCCGAUUGCGAAGGCAGCAUACCGGCGCGCAACUGACGCUCAUGCACGAAAGCGUGGGUAUCGAACAGGAUUAGAUACCCUGGUAGUCCACGCAGUAAACGA